Glycine soja is the source of this 365-nucleotide long non-coding RNA. RefSeq lists it as uncharacterized. Lineage: Eukaryota; Viridiplantae; Streptophyta; Magnoliopsida; Fabales; Fabaceae. The record is from RefSeq and is a predicted model, not a curated record. The transcript has 2 exons.
CGGCAGGAUUGAAGAAAGGAGUACUUGCUUUAAAAUAAAUUAAGAUGAAGGACAUCUCUUCAGUUCUAUUCAUUUUGUUUGUUCUUUUCAUUGGAAUUGAACAUGAAGGGCCAUUAAAAGUCAUAGAAGCGAAAAUUUGUGACAUAAAAUUGUAUAACUACUGCGAUCAAAGUUGUUUCACCGAUUGCUUCAGGAAAUAUGGGAAGAAAGUAUUACCUCUGUGCAAUGAAUGGGGUCAAUGCAUAUGCCGUUAUCGAUGCUAAGUGUUUGACAUUUUGUCCAACAUCCUUAUGAAUGCUAGAUUAUGUAGCAACAACUCUUAAUUCAAAAAAAAAAUAAAGUUACUCUUUUGUUAUUUUUAUCUA